AUGCUUGCUCCGGCAGCACAUAUACUAAAAUUGGAAUGAUACAGAGAAGAUUAGCAUGACCCCAGCUCAAGGAUAACCCAAAUUCAUGAAGUGUUCCAUAUUUUU
Molecule: small nuclear RNA, 105 nt
Organism: Kogia breviceps (pygmy sperm whale)
Lineage: Eukaryota; Metazoa; Chordata; Mammalia; Artiodactyla; Physeteridae
Source: RefSeq, a predicted model, not a curated record